Molecule: RNA transcript, 7986 nt
Organism: Zingiber officinale
Lineage: Eukaryota; Viridiplantae; Streptophyta; Magnoliopsida; Zingiberales; Zingiberaceae
Exons: 9
Source: RefSeq, a predicted model, not a curated record
UAGGUAGCUAGGUAGGUUGAUAAACUUGCCAACAAACUCCGAUUGAUGAUGGAUCGAUUUGUUUUCCGCGAUAUUCUUGAUUCGCUUUGAGGUUUCAUUGAAGUUCCUACUUGGUUUGCAUGAUUCCUAGAUCUCGCCAGUGCAUUCUGUAUCGAUGGAGUUCGGUUGCCAGUGGAACUGUUCCAUUUUUUUUAUUCUCGCGGUGUUCGCAUGGCUGUGAGUGGGUUUGGUUUCGAUUUCCUCCAUGUUGUUGAUGUUGCGAGCUUUCUGAAUGUUACCUGUUUGUUUAAAUGCCUGGCCGAGCUGUUAAUUGGUGGUAUGAGAAUGCAUUUUGGGUUUUCUGUGGAGCUCUGGAUUUGGUUUUGGUUCCUGUGAGGUCUUUGAGUCAAUUUCGAGGAUGAUUUGCCUCCUUCUUGGAUUCCCGAAAGCUGCAGUUAGAAUGUUGAUGGCUUAAACCUUGAUGAUUACCGUUUUUCAUUCUUCCUGCUGUUCUAAUUGGUUGUUGAUCUGCUCUCCGAACAGUCAUGGUUUGGUUUGGAUUUCAACGUGGUUUUGUCUAUGCUACUGAAAACGUUGUGGGUUUAUGGGGAAUCAACUGUGUUGAUCCAUUUCUGUAGAUGGCUGAGGUAGUUGGUUGAAUUUUGUUAAUGUUAUGUUCUGGUGAACAUUUGUUGAAGUUUUAUGGUGGUUUUGCUGAGGUCUGAUCUUGUGGUUUGGUAGUGUGUAUCCAGAAGAGUGGUUUUGAGUUGUUUUCGAUUGGUUCAAUCGGUCGUCUUGUUGCUAGUCUCAAUUUCCUUCGCUGCUGUUUAGAGAUUUAUAAUUGACUUGAUAUGGAUCUGUUCUUCAAGUUGGGUUCGGGAUCUUGGAUAGAAUUGGGAUUGCUGAGCUGAUUUCAAAUUGUUUCGCUGCCUUGUCUUCCUCUGUUGCUGUGUUCUUGAUGGUGUUGUAUUGACUAUCAGUUGUGGAUUGAGAGGUUUGAACUGGUGAGGACGUCUCCUAGGAUAUAAUGGAAGGCCUACUGACGGAGUAGAUGAGGAGAUGGAAUGGACGCGUGACACUGUCCGGGCAUUUUAAGAGUGCAGAGCUUACUUGCCCUAUUGUGAGAGGUUCUUAUGUUUGAGGAUUCAUUGACUCUUUCUAUUAAACUCUUGUUUGAGAAGCUAUCAUUACAUGGAAUAAGCUAGAUCAUUUCGAUAGAAUUAUAUUACGGUUAUCUACAUUGCAGAUGUCGAGAGUGAUUGUAAAAAAAAAAUAAAAACUUGAGGGAUAAUCUAGGGACGUUUCAGUUGGUGUGGCAAGCACCAGAUGAUCGAACCUGUAUUUUGAUAAUAGCAAAAGGUUCAAAGUUAAGUUGUCUUGUUAUCUAACAAGUGUGAUUGAGCUUGCAGGAAAGUCUUAAGUGUUCUUAGGCAAAAGUCCUACUGGAUACUAGACAGGUGGAAACCCCUAUGGGGAGAUAACCCUAGGUUCUAGGGGGUGGUAACCCUAGAUUAUGGAAAACCCUAGAAGGGUAACCCUAGGGGAGUAACCCUAGGUCAACCCUAAGUGGAAAGUUUUUGUGGGUCAUGAACUUUGGGCGAAAUCCUAGAGUCGGGGACUCUAGGUGAAAAUUCUGGUGAUCGUAAAUCAGGUGAAAGUCUGGACGGGUCAUGAAAUGGAUGUUGAGCAUGAAGACCUGAAGUCUUGGGGCUGAUCAAAAGUCCAGUUGGUCUGGAGGACCGACCUAGCUGCGGCAGGCGUCACGAGGCACGGAGAAGAGGGAGAGGAAGAGAGGUGGCGGCCGGCGGCGUCAGCUGGAGCAGCAGCGUCCCCGGGAAGAAAAAAGGAGGGAAGUGGCAGUGUCGGCUCCGGCGAAGGGCGAGAGGAGGAAGAAGAGGAGGUGCGACCGGAGGCGAGGGAGAGUAGAGGAGGAGAAGAGGGUGGCCGGCAUCGACUCUGGUGACAGCGUCGGAGAGGGAGGAAGAAGAUGUUUCUGUUGGCGGCGGCGGAGAGAAAACGAAGCCCCUUCUCUCUUGCAUGCUACAGUGCCACCUUAAGCCCUCAAAACUCUCCACAAAGUGAAAAGACCAAAUUAUCCCUCCUUCUCCCUUUAAUUCUUUCACUACCCUCUACCCAUAUCCGUAUCAGGAUUCUUUAUAAUUUGCUUCAUCUAUAUUAAGCAUGUGAGUUUUAAUUAAAUCCUAUACAAGAAAAGAAAAAAAAAGACAAAGACAAAGAUAAAUAGUGAAUAAUCAAAAUAUCUGCACAUAUUUUAAUUAACGUAGUGAAUUCAAGUGAUUAUUUUAUUUGAAUGAAUCUAGUAGCUUGUUCUUUCGUUUUUAGUUUUACAAGGCCAAUUAUAAAUAUUGCUCUAGUUUUCUUCUGUGUGGACGAUUGUUGUAUUAGUUGUGCCUGGUUCAGUUUCAACUGAACCUAAAUAUAUAAAUUAAAAUGUUUUUAAUUAAAAUAUUUAAGUUUUUGUUGGUGUUUGAUCGUCGGUUGAUCAUGAGAAAUUAUGACUAGGAUAUGCAUAUGUUUGAGCCAUGACAGUAGAUACAUGUUAUGUAAGGUCAUUCAUUACUCAUAAAAAAAAUCCAAUUGUUUUAGUUUGACCAUUUAAUUCAAAAAAAAAAAUAUGGAAUCGUCACAUCAGCAGCUCCCCUAGAAUCGGUCUCACGAAUAUGGAAGGAGAUAAAUAUAGGUACACAGCUGAAAGCGCAUAGUCGGGACACUAACCCCAGAUAAUGACACCCCGAAGAUCGAACCCUCGACCUUUCGAUCAUGAAACUAUGCGUCCUCAGCUGUACUACGCCCUGAGGGCUUGACCAUUUAAUUUAAGUAUGUAUCUUCCAUAUGUUUACAGAUGCUCCUAGAUAUCAAUUAUUUCCUAAAUCAUUUGUGCAUUGAAUGUUUUUAAGUUGUAUGCAUGACAAAUAUAGUGUAUAUUACUAGAUGUAUUAUGGAGAGGGUCUUCGGCUUAAUUUGGUCGGUAUUAAUUAGUAAUCAAAUUAAACCACUAAGAGCGGUCUCAGGCAUUUAAUUUCCAAUUAAUUUAGUGCUUAACAAACUUUUAAAUGAGCUCAUUGAUGCUUGGUGCAUAUGCUCCGUUUGAUCAUUUAUUUGGAUAUAUGCAUCUAUACCGUUUAUAUGUCACAAUUUUUUUAAAAUUUAAGGGGCAUAAACAUCCAUUUAAUGUUGUAAGCAAAUGGUGAGGGCCCAUAAUUAGGGCAGAACCAACAUCCCCCGCCCCGCAAGGAAACUCAGAAGUCUCAGCACUCGGCAGUAGCCGUUUCUCAGCAACGGUCACCUGCAGCCUCGGCAACAGCGCAGCAGUCUCAGCAGUAGCCUCCGGAAUACAGCUAAUAUAGUUCUUAAACAGCGGCAAACUGAGCAUUGUUUCCUCUCGUUCACUCUGGCAACGAGGAUGCCGAGCGUUUGCCGGAAUGGAGGUUACGGCGAGUGCUUCUCCAUUAAAAGGCCGUAGCCACCAGAGGCUAGAAAGGCUGUUCCUACUGUCUUUCUACUUCUCUUGCGCUUCUGUGUCUCUCCCUCUCUGCCUCUCACUGUCACUAUUUUCGAGAUAGAGAGGUGAACAUACUUCUUCGUCCUAUCCGUGGAAAGCUUGGGCACUAGAACUCCUCUAAUUCAACUUGUCGUUCCAAGAAGCAAGCAUACUUCUUCCUUCUUGGCAUUGAGUGGACCCUUGGAUGAUUGUUUGAAGCUGUUGAGAGGCCAGUGGGAUGAGCAAAAGCUGGUCGGUCUCCUCACCUCAAAAAUCUGUCAUGGGGACGACACAACUGCUGUUCUAAAGGUCUAUGAUGCUGUCGGUGCUUGUUUUCUUCAGAGACUCAUCUUAACUGGUAUGGGAAAGGGAUCUGGUGGGUUUGGUAGCGCCGAGGACAAAGAGCCAUAUUUGAGGCUCUCCAUCACCCUUCUUACUGCAUUGUGUCAGGUGCCAGAAAUUGCUUCAUAUGAGGAAAUGGUCUCUAAAGUUCCUCUUGUAGCUGAAAUAGUUACAAAAUUGUCUGACCCUUGUCGCUGUUGCUUCGGAUAGUGGAAGAGCAAAGUUUUAUCAACCUGGAGUCAAUUACCUGUUGCUCUUGCUUUGGAUGCAGAAUGGUUGAGUCUCUCUAUUGAUAUCAAUAGCCUGCUCCUUUGCUUGGGGGAGGCAUGUAGUGCAAAAGAAAAGAUGGCAGUUGCAAAGGUAUAAAUUUCAGUAUAUCCUCGUAAUUUAAUGUUCCAUAAGCAUAGUAAUCCAUUGAAUACACGCGUGUGUGGCACGCUUACGACUAAAGAUGUUUGCCAAUCAACACAGACCAUGUUCCAUGUAGAAACUCUACUCUGAUUGUGAAUUUUAAACUCACAAGAUCUAGUGAAUUUUUUUUUUUUAAAAAAAUCAUAUAUGCAAGUGCCAAUAUAUUAGUGAUAGCAAACCAGCAUCAUAGCUAUCGACUUCAAUUUAACUCACUCCAAGAAGUCAUGUUUCAUAUUUUCCUUGUAUAUUGACUGUAACUCAGUGCUUCUACCAAACAUAAUUAAUUUAUAUUUCAGUGUUUAUAAGACUACAUACUAUUAGCUUAAAAAAUAUGACUUAGUAGACCUGGGAGGAGCAGUAGAAGAUUUACUAUCUGCAAUAGAAAGAGAAUACUUGAAAUACAAAAGAAGAGAAAGCUAACACCAUAUAUUGAAAGCUUCCUAAAUGAAUAAAUUGUUGCAGCUAACAUAAGCAACUCGAACCAGAGCACCAGAAAUGUAAUAUGUAAUACAUUUACAAUGUACCUCUGUCUGGUAGCAUCACUAUUGCUAGAUCAGCAUCCACAAGGGCUUUAACAACUUCACAGUUUGUGCCCGUCACAGCCAUAUGCCCCUUCUUAUCUGUCCUCCUGGCAAGAUGCGGAUCCUUUCCAAGCAAUGCCUCUACAAUUAUUAGUUUUAUUUAAAGUUUUCAUUAGAUUAAUAUUAAAAUUGUAGACAAAUUAUUAUUGCUCAACUAAUGCAUUGGUAGCAGAGUUUAGAGUGCCAAACAUGUAGAAUUUGAAGUGUAAAAACAAAUUGUAUCGACACUUUAGAAUAAUAAGCUCAAUACUCAUCUACAUCAUAUAAGGCAGUAAAUAAACAAGAGUAUCAACUUAUUUCAUUCAUAUUUCAUCUAUUUAUGGCAUAAUUAACACACUAUUUAUAGGAUGCAACACCACUCAUUUGACAUUGGAGCAAACCAUUGCAUAUUGAUCUAGCAAAUGUUGAAGGUACAUAGUAGUCCAAGGAAGGAUUGGUAUCACUAUCGACUGAAUUUUAGACCACAAAUAAUAACACAAUUACAAAGAAAAGUACUAGAAUUUAAUGAUCUCUUAGUGUCGCCGGCGAUGAAGAGACUAGAUCUGUGCCGGCGACACUGAGCAGAGGAGAUGAGGGUCGGUGUCGGCAGAGGAAAUCGCGUGAGGAAGAGAUCUUCUUUCCUUGGCUCUCGUCGGCCGGCGAGGAUGGAUUGGCCAAGAGGAGGAGCCGGCGGUGCUCUCGUGGCGGUCGGCUGGCGACGCUAGGCAAAGGAAGUCGGCGUUGGUUGUGGUGGCCGGUGGCUAGCUAGGCCACGAGCAUAAAGAGGGUAGAAUCGGCAGAGGCUCGGACUCCUUGGCAGAUCACCUUGUACACGAGGGAGAAGGCGGUUUUUGUGGCGCCGGUUGGGAAGGGCGGUUAGGUCUCGGCGAAGAUGAAGAAGAGGGCGCGUCGGGGAACGGCUCGGGCACACGGGAGAAAAAAAAAAAGAAAACGGAGAAGAAUAAAAAAAAGAGAAAAACAAAAGAAAAUAAAACAUUUUCUCGCUUAAAUUGGGUACUAAACAGGUUUCCCCGAGGCUCCGUUUUAUCCCUGUAAACUCGUGCAUACGAGCUCCGAAAAUUUUUUAAAAAUUCCGAAAAAUUCUCUUAAGAUGAUAUGCCCAUUUUUGGUAUUUUACAAAAGUUUUCAUUAGAUUAAUAUUAAAAUUUUAGACAAAUUAUUAUUGCUCAACUAAUGCAUUGGUAGCAGAGUUUAGAGUGCCAAACAUGUAGAAUUUGAAGAGUAAAAACAAAUUGUAUCGACACUUUAGAAUAAUGAGCUCAAUACUCAUCUACAUCAUAUAAGGCAGUAAAUAAACAAGAGUAUCAACUUAUUUCAUUCAUAUUUCAUCUAUUUAUGGCAUAAUUAACACACUAUUUAUAGGAUGCAACACCACUCAUUUGACAUUGGAGCAAACCAUUGCAUAUUUGAUCUAGCAAAUGUUGAAGGUACAUAGUAGUCCAAGGAAGGAUUGGUAUCACUAUUGACUGAAUUUUAGACCACAAAUGAUAACACAAGUACAAAGAAAAGUACUAGAAACAUGCUUUCACCUUUGUUGAUCUCUUAGUGUUUCAAAACAUAAGAAGGAGCUAGGACAAUGAUAUACAAAACUUUGAGCUUUAUGAGGCAUUUUAAAAACAUUGUAGAAUUUAAUGAUCUUUUACUUACCGUCCUUUGAAGUCCAACAGCUAUUCUCUUGCAGCUUGGUUAGGAUUAGGAUUGGUAAUUCUUUUAAGUUCACUCUUGCAGAUUGAUUUCUUUGCUCCUUUAUUUGAUUUUUGACUCAUCAGAACAGAUUUAGGAGUUGGCGAAUCAAUUUCUAAUUUCUCACAUUUCUUACUGGGAAAUUUCUGAAUAACAAUAGGUUUUGUUAAGAGGGAUUUGGAUAGGACGCCCAUCAUUGCUUCCGUCGGCUAGUUGUGGUGUAGUCUUUUGUGUUAGUACUGUCUUUUUCUUGGAGUAGGUCUCGGUGCGUUCUGGAAUAUGCUUUUGAUAUGCAAUGUGGUGAUGUUUUUUCUGGAUUCUUGAACAGAUGUUGGGUUUUCUGAGUUUGUUCUUGAUGAACAUCUAGAUGAUGGUAUUGGAUUUCUGCAAUUGUAAUGAUAUAUGCUUUGAUGAUGGAGUGGGAGUUUGAACAGGUGUUGAGUUUUUCUGCAUUUGUGUUGAUGAACGAUCUGGAGAAGGAGUUGAUAGUGAAAUGGGUGUGGAGUUUUCUGCAUUUAUGUUGAUGAACAAUCGGAUGAUGUUGUGGGUUUGUGAACAGGUGUUAGGAUUCGGUUUUGGUUUUUUUUGUGUGCUUGGUUGUGGUUUUGGUAUUUAUGUUAUGAGAGCAUCUCGGGUUUGAUAGCAAAUGAAGAUGGUGAGGAUUUGGAAUAGUUUUGGGUUUGAAUUGUGAUUUAUUUGUAAGGAUCGGAAUUUGCAUUAUUUUAGUAAAUGUUUUUUUUUUACUUACCUACUGAUGCUUUGAUUGUAUAUGUAUGAUUAGCAAUACCAAAUAGAUCACCUUAUGUUAGUAGAAGAACUAUGCAUGAUUACUUGUGUGUUUACAUAUGAUUAAAUCGAGUUUCUCUAUUUAUCUAACUAAUUAUAGACAUGGGCAUGAGCGGUGAUAGUAUGGGAUGGCUGUCAUGGGGAGGACCCUUUCAAACAUGAAUGAUAAAGAAAUGUAGAAUGGCUACGGAUGGACAAUUUAUAUUCUCCUAAGAGAUCUAAGAGACUGUCGCUGUUGAUGCAAGUCUUGAAGAAUUGAAACACCGAGCUCCUCAGUCUCUAACACUGUCCUUCUGCCCUCCUUUAUUCUUUCAAUAGAAUGGUUGAGUCUCUCUAUUGACGUCAAUAGCCUGCUCCUUUGCUCAGUGGAGGCAUGUAGUGCAAAAGAAAAGAUGGCAGUAGCAAAGCUUGGUGCUUGCGUUGUUGUUGCACAAGGUGCAAUGCAAAAUGACAUAUCGAGAGAGUUUGGACAUUGAAUGCCGACUCCAUGUAUUUAUGGGCAACAUGUAUUGAAGACGAAAAAGCAUGUUCUUAUGAGAUGUAUUUACCAGAUGAAUUUUUAUUAUUUCUUCCAUUGAAGAAGACAAACUAUAUCUUAAGAGUUUUUCCAGACCAAGUUUCAUCAUGUUGAUGUGACCAGCUUCAUUUCACCUGAAUACUUUGGCAAGUGACAACACUGGUCUCAUCUCUAGUUUAAUCCCA